GCACAAGCGGUGAGCAUGUGUUUAAUUCGACGCAACGCGAAGAACCUUACCUACUCUUGACAUCUACAGAAGAACGCAGAGAUGUGUUGUGCCUUCGGGAACUGUAAGACAGGUGCUGCAUGGCUGUCGUCAGCUCGUGUUGUGAAAUGUUGGGUUAAGUCCCGCAACGAGCGCAACCCUUAUCCUUAGUUGCCAGCGAUUCGGUCGGGAACUCUAGGGAGACUGCCGGUGAUAAACCGGAGGAAGGUGGGACGACGUCAAGUCAUCAUGGCCCUUACGAGUAGGGCUACACACGUGCUACAAUGGUAUGUACAGAGGGAGGCAAGCUGGCGACAGUAAGCGGAUCUCUUAAAGCAUAUCGUAGUCCGGAUUGGAGUCUGCAACUCGACUCCAUGAAGUCGGAAUCGCUAGUAAUCGCAAAUCAGAAUGUUGCGGUGAAUACGUUCCCGGGCCUU
RNAcentral lists this ribosomal RNA (455 nucleotides) under uncultured Alishewanella sp. RNAcentral describes it as "bacterial SSU rRNA". It matches the Rfam family "Bacterial small subunit ribosomal RNA", at positions 923 to 1382 of the family's 1533-position model. Lineage: Bacteria; Pseudomonadati; Pseudomonadota; Gammaproteobacteria; Alteromonadales; Alteromonadaceae. The record is from RNAcentral.